RNAcentral lists this ribosomal RNA (253 nucleotides) under uncultured bacterium. RNAcentral describes it as "partial 16S ribosomal RNA". It matches the Rfam family "Bacterial small subunit ribosomal RNA", at positions 524 to 776 of the family's 1533-position model. The record is from RNAcentral.
CACGUAGGGCGCAAGCGUUGUCCGGAAUUAUUGGGCGUAAAGAGCUCGUAGGCGGUCUGUUACGUCUGCUGUGAAAACCCGGGGCUUAACCCUGGGCUUGCAGUGGAUACGGGCAGACUAGAGGCAGGUAGGGGAGAAUGGAAUUCCCGGUGUAGCGGUGAAAUGCGCAGAUAUCAGGAGGAACACCGGUGGCGAAGGCGGGUCUCUGGGCCGAUACUGACGCUGAGGAGCGAAAGCGUGGGGAGCAAACGGG